AUUGAACGCUUGCGGCAGGCCUAACACAUGCAAGUCGAACGAGUGGCGGACGGGUGAGUAAUGUCUGGGAAACUGCCUGAUGGAGGGGGAUAACUACUGGAAACGGUAGCUAAUACCGCAUACCAUCAGAUGUGCCCAGAUGGGAUUAGCUUGUUGGUGGGGUAACUGCUCACCAAGGCGACGAUCCCUAUCUGGUCUGAGAGGAUGACCAGCCACACUGGAACUGAGACAAGGGCCAGACUCCUACGGGAGGCAGCAGUGGGGAAUAUUGCACAAUGGGCGCAAGCCUGAUGCAGCCAUGCCGCGUGUAUGAAGAAGGCCUUCGGGUUGUAAAGUACUUUCAGCGGGGAGGCGUUACCCGAAGAAGAAGCACCGGCUAACUCCGUGCCAGCAGCCGAGGUAAUUC
Molecule: ribosomal RNA, 406 nt
Filed under: uncultured bacterium
Lineage: Bacteria
Description: partial 16S ribosomal RNA
Rfam family: Bacterial small subunit ribosomal RNA
Source: RNAcentral